Molecule: unclassified non-coding RNA, 237 nt
Filed under: Hevea brasiliensis (rubber tree)
Lineage: Eukaryota; Viridiplantae; Streptophyta; Magnoliopsida; Malpighiales; Euphorbiaceae
Source: RNAcentral
AAUUACAGCAGCAGCAACAAUUACAGCAGAGGCACCCCCAUCAAGAAAUAAAACAACAGCAGUUAUCUAAUCAUCAGCAAAUCCCUCAUACUACUUCUCAAUCUCAAUCAUCGCCCUUGCACGCAAUAACAUCGUUUAGCCAGCAAAACGGUCACGACACAAAUAAUAGUCAAGUGACCACAGCUGUUCUGUCUCCCUUGCAUAGUAUCUUGGGUUCUUAUUCUCCCGAAGAAUCGU